RNAcentral lists this ribosomal RNA (284 nucleotides) under uncultured bacterium. Its description in RNAcentral is "partial 16S ribosomal RNA". It matches the Rfam family "Bacterial small subunit ribosomal RNA", at positions 71 to 353 of the family's 1533-position model. The record is from RNAcentral.
CGGGAGUAGCAAUACCCGCCGGCGACCGGCGCACGGGUGAGUAACACGUAUCCAACCUGCCGAUGACUCGGGGAUAGCCUUUCGAAAGAAAGAUUAAUACCCGAUGGCAUAGUUCUUCCGCAUGGUGGAACUAUUAAAGAAUUUCGGUUAUCGAUGGGGAUGCGUUCCAUUAGUUUGUUGGCGGGGUAACGGCCCACCAAGACUACGAUGGAUAGGGGUUCUGAGAGGAAGGUCCCCCACAUUGGAACUGAGACACGGUCCAAACUCCUACGGGAGGCAGCAUG